UACGUAGGGGGCGAGCGUUGUCCGGAUUUAUUGGGCGUAAAGAGCUCGUAGGCGGUCUGUUGCGUCCGCUGUGAAAACUCGGGGCUUAACCCCGAGCCUGCAGUGGAUACGGGCAGACUAGAGGUAGGUAGGGGAGAAUGGAAUUCCCGGUGUAGCGGUGAAAUGCGCAGAUAUCGGGAGGAACACCGGUGGCGAAGGCGGGUCUCUGGGCCGAUACUGACGCUGAGGAGCGAAAGCGUGGGGAGCGAACAGG
Molecule: ribosomal RNA, 253 nt
Filed under: uncultured bacterium
Lineage: Bacteria
Description: partial 16S ribosomal RNA
Rfam family: Bacterial small subunit ribosomal RNA
Source: RNAcentral